UGCGUAGGUGGCGGGGUAAGUCUGGUGUGAAAUCUCCGAGCUCAACUCGGAAAAGCAUUGGAAACUAUCUCGCUGGAGGGUCGGAGGGGAGACUGGAAUUCUCGGUGUAGCAGUGAAAUGCGUAGAUAUCGAGAGGAACACCAGUGGCGAAGGCGAGUCUCUGGACGACUCCUGACACUGAGGCACGAAAGCUAGGGAGCAAACA
Molecule: ribosomal RNA, 205 nt
Filed under: uncultured bacterium
Lineage: Bacteria
Description: partial 16S ribosomal RNA
Rfam family: Bacterial small subunit ribosomal RNA
Source: RNAcentral